Molecule: small nucleolar RNA, 105 nt
Organism: Juglans microcarpa x Juglans regia
Lineage: Eukaryota; Viridiplantae; Streptophyta; Magnoliopsida; Fagales; Juglandaceae
Source: RefSeq, a predicted model, not a curated record
ACUCAGUAUGUGUACCUGCUGUAAAUAUGGACAGACAGCAAUAUGUAGGCUUUAGGUGGGCAUGCAGUGAGUUCCGUGUUGCUCACAAAGGACCUACAAACAUAG